ACCUCUUCACCUUAUGCGGCAACCAUAAACAGAUAUGAUCUUUUGUGAGCCAAGACUCUCUGAUUUUUUUCAUCAUGAGAGAGCUGAGAAGGAGAGGAGCUGAACCUCUCUUAGGGGCAUGAGGAUCUGGGGUGGGCGCUAUCAUUUUGGUGUGAGCAUUAGAGGAGAUCCAACUUCUCUUUGGGUGAGAGACCUAGAAUUAUUCUAGGAUUUUCAGAUGAGAAAAAAUACUAGAGAGAAGAGUUCUCUUCUGAUUUUUUCUUUACCAUCCAGUAUCUCCUCUGAUCUAUCUUUGACAUCGAAAAUAUCUGAGGCGAUCGAAGAAGAGGAUCAAAUCAGAUCUGCCAUCAGAAGUCAUCUACGUGAGCUAGCACUCCCGCAGAAGCCUGAUCGGUUUGAGAGUUUCGUGUGAACGAUCC
This 419-nucleotide long non-coding RNA is filed under the name Elaeis guineensis (African oil palm). Its description in RNAcentral is "long non-coding RNA (EGUI_LNC041529)". The record is from RNAcentral. Lineage: Eukaryota; Viridiplantae; Streptophyta; Magnoliopsida; Arecales; Arecaceae.